UGCCGAAGUUCCGGUUGAUCCUGCCGGAAGCUACUGCUAUUGGGAUUCGACUAAGCCAUGCGAGUCAAGGUGUCUUCGGAUGCCGGCGUACGGCUCAGUAACACGUAGGUAACCUACCCUCAGGACUGAGAUAACCCCGGGAAACUGGGGCUAAUAUUAGAUAGAUAAAAGGUACUGGAAUGUUCUUUUAUCCAAAGCUUUUGCGCCUGAGGAUGGGCCUGCGUCCGAUUAGGUUGUUGGUGGGGUAAUGGCCCACCAAGCCUGCGAUCGGUACGGGCAGUGAGAGCUGAAGCCCGGAGUUGGGGACUGAGACAAGGCCCCAGGCCCUACGGGGCGCAGCAGGCGCGAAACCUCUGCAAUGCGGGAAACCGUGACAGGGGGAUCCCAAGUGCUCAUGCAUUGCAUGGGCUGUUCUUUGGUCUAAGUAACCAGAGGAGUAAGGGCUGGGCAAGACCGGUGCCAGCCGCCGCGGUAAUACCGGCAGCUCAAGUGGUAGCCGCGAUUAUUGGGCCUAAAGCGUUCGUAGCCGGAUAAGUAAGUCUUUGGUUAAAUCCUGCAACUCAACUGUGGGAAAUCUAGGGAUACUGCUUGUCUUGAGACCGGGAGAGGUUAGAGGUACUCCUAGGGUAGGGGUGAAAUCCUGUAAUCCUAGGGGGACCACCUGUGGCGAAGGCGUCUAACUGGAACGGGUCUGACGGUGAGGGACGAAACCUAGGGGAGCGAGCCGGAUUAGAUGCCCGGGUAGUCCUAGGCGUAAAUGAUGCGAGUUAAGUGUGGGGGCAUCUACGAGAUGGCCCUGUGCUGUAGGGUAGCCGUUAAACUCGCCGCCUGGGGAGUACGGUCGCAAGGCUGAAACUUAAAGGAAUUGGCGGGGGAGCACCACAAGAGGUGGAGGCUGCGGUUCAAUUGGAGUCAACGCCGGAG
Molecule: ribosomal RNA, 924 nt
Filed under: uncultured bacterium
Lineage: Bacteria
Description: bacterial SSU rRNA
Rfam family: Archaeal small subunit ribosomal RNA
Source: RNAcentral